UACGGGAGGCAGCAGUGGGGAAUAUUGCACAAUGGGCGCAAGCCUGAUGCAGCCAUGCCGCGUGUAUGAAGAAGGCCUUCGGGUUGUAAAGUACUUUCAGUCGUGAGGAAGGUGUUAAGGUUAAUAACCUUAGCAAUUGACGUUAGCGACAGAAGAAGCACCGGCUAACUCCGUGCCAGCAGCCGCGGUAAUACGGAGGGUGCGAGCGUUAAUCGGAAUUACUGGGCGUAAAGGGCACGCAGGCGGUUAAUUAAGUUGGAUGUGAAAUCCCCGGGCUUAACCUGGGAAUGGCAUUCAAGACUGGUUAGCUAGAGUCUUGUAGAGGGGGUAGAAUUCCAUGUGUAGCGGUGAAAUGCGUAGAGAUGUGGAGGAAUACCGGUGGCGAAGGCGGCCCCUGGACAAAGACUGACGCUCAUGUGCGAAAGCGUGGGGAGCAAACAGGGAUUAGA
RNAcentral lists this ribosomal RNA (449 nucleotides) under uncultured bacterium. Its description in RNAcentral is "bacterial SSU rRNA". It matches the Rfam family "Bacterial small subunit ribosomal RNA", at positions 340 to 782 of the family's 1533-position model. The record is from RNAcentral.